Molecule: long non-coding RNA, 446 nt
Organism: Mya arenaria
Lineage: Eukaryota; Metazoa; Mollusca; Bivalvia; Myida; Myidae
Exons: 4
Source: RefSeq, a predicted model, not a curated record
GAUACACUGUGUUGUGUGUGGAUAAAAAAUGCAUAGUGGUACCACCAAUCACCAAAGCCACCAUUCCCCUAUCAGACAAAAGGCUCAUGGGGACAGUUCCUGCAAUUUACAGCAAAGCUCACAAUUGUAGCCCUACGAACUUCAGAUACUGCCGAUGGUGAAGCUUGGGUGCACCGGGCCGGUUUUCCAGCCGUGUGGAAUCAACAUCUCCAGCUGAACUGGGGCCGGGAAUUAUAUAAGACUCCUUAGCAGCAUGAGUGCCAGCCAGUCAUUGCUGUUCUUUGCAUUGCUGAGGAGGACAGUCCUGCCAACAUAACAGUUUGUUCAAUAACAGGAGACAAACAGAAACACAGAGGUGCUAUACAUUCCGAUGGAAAAGACAACAAAAGCAUCUUCCAUCAUUUUGGCGUGGCUCAGAUCAAGAGGAGAAUUUUAAGAAAGGUAAU